GAAAUGCGAUAAGUAAUGUGAACUGCAGAAUUCAGUGAAUCAUCGAAUCUUUGAACGCACCUUGCGCUUCUUGGUAUUCCUUGGAGCAUGCCUGUUUGAGUAUCAUGAAAUCUUCAAAGUAAAUCUUUUGUUAACUCAAUUGGUUUCUACUUUGGUAUUGGAGGUCUUUGCAGCUUCACACCUGCUCCUCUUUGUUCAUUAGCUGGAUCUCAGUGUUAUGCUUGGUUCCACUCGGCGUGAUAAGUUAUCUAUCGCUGAGGACACUGUAAAAGGUGGCCAAGGUAAAUGCAGAUGAACCGCUUCUAAUAGUCCAUUGACUUGGACAAUACUUUUAUGAUCUGAUCUCAAAUCAGGUAGGACUACCCGCUGAACUUAAGC
This 378-nucleotide unclassified non-coding RNA is filed under the name plant metagenome. RNAcentral's name for it is "partial contains 5.8S ribosomal RNA, internal transcribed spacer 2, and large subunit ribosomal RNA". The stretch from base 1 to 105 matches the Rfam family "5.8S ribosomal RNA", at positions 50 to 154 of the family's 154-position model. The record is from RNAcentral.